AAAGGCAGGCCAACCAAGUGAAACUACUUGUACACAGGUAGAAGAAAGGAACUGAAACUUGGAAACAAAGCCAGGACGUGUCAGUUGGGGAGACCCUAGGACUGUGUCAAUCCAUUCUCUAAAAAUUUCCACAACUCAGUUUGGAAUCGACAACGAAAAAUUCUUUUGACUUUCUUAAAUAAUUCUAACAACAUCUGACAUUUAUCUGGAGCUCUGUAUAUGAACAAAGGUAUUCUGAAGACUUCUCCCUUCAUUUUACCUGGCACUGCGUACAAUGGAUUUUAAGAAACGAGAGAACCAAAGCCCCGAGGAGGUAAACAAUUUGCCUAAGGUCACAAAGGCUCUGCUCUGAAGAAGCUCAAAAAGCAAGUUAAUAUAAACCUAUUCAGAACAAAUGUGCAGAAAGGAGCCCUGUCGGACAGAGGUCGAGCUAUGACCUUCCCAACUUUUUCCACAGAAUGUACAAUCCAUCACGUACAAGAGCACAGUGAAGAUGUGAGGGGUUGGCCGGAAUGGAGAUAACCUGAGGUGACCUUACAGGCAAUGUACUGAAGACGACCAAAACUCCUUCCAUCUGCAACUCUACGUGAACGCACAGAGGAAGCCAUCCCACCAACCUGCUUACAUAUUACUGUUGCUGUUAAGAAACAAGUGUUUACUAUGUUCAAGCCAUUAUAAAGUAUUCUGAUAUGUUUUGGGGGGUUUUGGUUUUUGUUUUUGCAGUAACCUAGCCUACCCAAUAAAAACCCACAGGGCUAGACACAAUGCCUAAAGUAUCUCCCUGAUAAAUGGCCCUAAAUGAUGGCUUACACCUUCACCUUUUGAGUGGUGCAAUGACUAACAGGCAAUAAAAAACAACAGCU
Molecule: long non-coding RNA, 863 nt
Organism: Mustela lutreola (European mink)
Lineage: Eukaryota; Metazoa; Chordata; Mammalia; Carnivora; Mustelidae
Exons: 3
Source: RefSeq, a predicted model, not a curated record